AGUUUUAAAUAAACUUUUAGAUAAUCUAAAAUUUUCUAAUAUUUUUAUAUCUACAUAGAUUGUUUUAAUGUCUAAAAUUCUAGAAACAAAAAUGUCAACGACUUUAUGCAUUUAAGUUAUCGUAAUCAAAGAAACCUCUUUUACUCAAACAAAGUAAGAGUUGGUUCUCCUCAAAUCAUUGAAAUCAUAUAAAAUUUUAUUGCAUUCGUCGCUGUGAUGCAUUGUAAAUUGAUUUUAUAGAAUCGACUGCCCAUUAAAGUCGAUCGAAGUGCGUUAUAAACUGUCAACCGACCAUUUUCAGCCCAUUGAUGCGAGGAAGUUGUUUUAUAUAGCAAUGCUUUUAAAAACUGUUCUUGUCAAUCUCGGUGUGGUACUUGUUGCCCUUAUAUCCACCGACCAAAAUGGCUGCAAUGGCUUUUCCGCACUGGGACGAUCGCAAUAUCCAUGGGCAAGGUCAACUCACAAGACGCCUUACAAAAUAUCUAAUGAUAUUUAAAUAAAAAUUUUUUUUAUAUACACAAAAUAAAAUUUUUGAGUCAUUUGAA
Non-coding RNA from Drosophila bipectinata, 545 nucleotides. NCBI's taxonomy places the organism in Eukaryota, Metazoa, Arthropoda, Insecta, Diptera, Drosophilidae. The record is from RefSeq and is a predicted model, not a curated record.